Cinara cedri is the source of this 520-nucleotide non-coding RNA. NCBI's taxonomy places the organism in Eukaryota, Metazoa, Arthropoda, Insecta, Hemiptera, Aphididae. The record is from the annotation of a GenBank genome assembly.
CGUAUUGUUUAAACUAACAUUAUAUUAUGGGAUACAUUAUUAUUUUAAAGAAAAAACUUGAGGAAGGUCACCAAUCGCACUAACAACAUUAGAAAUCAAAAAACCGACAAUAGAACACAUUCCAUGGAAAUUCAUUUGCGAGAGUUCUUAUUAACGUUAAGGGUUUGUUUAAGACUUAUAAAUUUAAAGUCAAUACGAAGAACGUCUAGUUUAUAAUGCACAUGCGCUUAACUUUUUUACAAAACGUGAUAUAAAAAGAAUGAAAAAAUGAUUAAUAACAGCAUAUAUCUUUGUAUACAUAACAUCACAAAUAUAUAGGUCACUUAUAGUACAAGGAAGACUAAAAACGCCCAACAAGUGAUUAAAAAUGAUUAAUUUUUCUAUGAGGAUCGAUUUCGUCUACCUUUCGUGACCGUAUUGUUUAAACUAACAUAAUAUUAUGGGAUACAUUAUUUUUUUAAAGAAAAAACUUAAGGAAGGUCACCAAACGCACUAACAAUAAUGGAAAUCAAAAAAUCGU